RNAcentral lists this microRNA (21 nucleotides) under Homo sapiens (human). RNAcentral describes it as "hsa-miR-3189-3p". The record is from miRBase by way of RNAcentral. Lineage: Eukaryota; Metazoa; Chordata; Mammalia; Primates; Hominidae.
CCCUUGGGUCUGAUGGGGUAG